This is a non-coding RNA of Sapajus apella (tufted capuchin), 1774 nucleotides long. The record is from the annotation of a RefSeq genome assembly. Lineage: Eukaryota; Metazoa; Chordata; Mammalia; Primates; Cebidae.
GCUAAGAACUGUUCCCUUACUGAAGCAGACACCUGUUACAAUAGUUUUAAUAGUAACAACCUUAGUCUUUAAAUCAGGGUUGAUUUUAGGUUCUUAUCUAAGAAUGAAAUAUCUCCAACUGUAGAGGGUUGAAGGCGUGUCAUAUAUGUGACCUGUUCAGGAGGAGACGAUUCAACCACUUUUCUUAAAUUCAGAUCUACAUGUCUUAACAGUCUUUGUUUUAAGGGCCACAUAAAAAUAAUCUGAAACAAUUUACACAUUAGGAAAAUGCUAACACUUUCCUUCUGGCCCAGCACAUCUCCAGGUUAAAAAAUCUCUAUUAUCAACCCCUAAUUUAAUCAUGGUAAUUCCUUCCUACUCCCAACAUAGAUUUCCAUGUAACUGAUUUAUAACUACAACCCUUACCACAAUCACAAGUGCCAUUACAAAAUGGUAAUAAAUAUGUACUGUAAUAAUAAAUAGAUGGUUAAAAUCACUUAGGGAGUAUGAAUCAUCUCUUUUUUUGUUUAUUUGUACUUAUUUUUUGUGCUGAUUUAUGAUGUCAGCUUCAAGCUGACUUCCCUUUCCUUUGCUCCACACACCUUGUGUUGUUCUUUUUCAGCAUCCUGUGUAUGUUAACUCUAAGCCCAACCAAGCCCCACGCCCUCCACUUCAGGGACAGAGGGUGGCUCAUCCCUUUGCUGCUCCCUCAGCUCCCUGCCAGUGCCUGGUUGCUGGUUGGCAUCACAGUCAUGCCUUUGAAUGGUGGGCACUGGUCCACACUGCAUCUGUGGUCAUGCAGUCAUCCUCCCUCCACAGAGCGGGGCAAAAAGGGCUCCACCACGCUUAGACAUUGAGGGAAGGGAUGUUUUGAAAGGCGCUGUCUCCUGUGUUCCCACAGGGGAGAAGGAGGUUCCUUGAAUGGGAGUGGUCUGUUGCUGAGAGGGGUCCUGAAAGGCAGGAGGACAGAGAUAGAGGGAGAAGCUACAUAAUGAGGAAGGAGCUGAGAGCAAAGGAGCCCCUGUCAGAGGAAUAUCCUUGGGAAAUAAAAGGCUGGCUCUGCCCUUUCUGCCAGGACAUUCAUCCCAACCCAGCCAAUUCAUACCUACCUUCUGUCAGAACUUAGAAAGGAUGCAAAGCAAUCAGGAAGAACCAGCCCCUGGGCCUGGGGAAACUGUCAGGAGCAGUGACAUCACAGGAAAAACCACCAACCAAGGCCAAGGAGACCAGAGCCCAGCCCCUCGCCCAGAGGAUCUCAGUCAGAGGCCCCAUUUCAGACCCCAGGCUAGCAUGGGCUGCAGGCUGCUCUGCUGUGCGCUGCUCUGCCUCCUGGGAGCAGUCCCCAUGGACACCGGAGUUACCCAGACCCCAAAACACCUGGUCAUGGGAACGAUGAAUAAGAAGUCUUUGAAAUGUGAACAACACCUGGGGCACAAUGCUAUGUACUGGUACAAGCAGAAAGCUAAGACGCCACUGGAGCUCAUGUUCAUCUACGGAUUUCAAAAACAGACUGAAAACAAUAGUGUGCCCAGUCGCUUCUCACCUGAAUGCCCUGACAGCUCUCACUUAUACCUUCACCUACACGCCCUGCAGCCAGAAGACUCGGCCCUGUAUCUCUGUGCCAGUAGCCAAGACACAGCCUUGCAGAGUCACCGUCUCCCUGUGCAGAAACCUUAGGGGCUUCUCAGGAAGCCAACACGGAGGGCUCGGGUGAACACUUCCUGCAAGAGCCCCGACAGAGGCUUCAGAACACCAUAGCACCUGCUCAUUCAUCUGUGUGGCAACUUUACAUGCU